Molecule: ribosomal RNA, 561 nt
Filed under: uncultured archaeon
Lineage: Archaea
Description: bacterial SSU rRNA
Rfam family: Archaeal small subunit ribosomal RNA
Source: RNAcentral
CACCAGGCGCGAAAACUUUACAAUGCUGGCAACAGCGAUAAGGGGACCUCGAGUGCCAGGAUACAAUCUUGGCUGUCGCGAUGCCUAAAAAGCAUUGCAUAGCAAGGGCCGGGCAAGACCGGUGCCAGCCGCCGCGGUAACACCGGCGGCUCGAGUGGUAACCGCUAUUAUUGGGUCUAAAGGGUCUGUAGCCGGCCGGAUAAGUCUUUUGGGAAAUCCAGCUGCUCAACAGUUGGGCUUUCAGAAGAUACUGUUCGGCUCGAGACCGGGAGAGGUGAGAGGUACUUCAGGGGUAGGGGUGAAAUCUUGUAAUCCUUGAAGGACCACCAGUGGCGAAGGCGUCUCACCAGAACGGAUCUGACGGCAAGGGACGAAAGCUAGGGGCACGAACCGGAUUAGAUACCCGGGUAGUCCUAGCCGUAAACGAUACUCGCUAGGUGUCAGCCACGGUGCGACCGUGGUUGGUGCCGUAGGGAAGCCGUGAAGCGAGCCACCUGGGAAGUACGGCCGCAAGGCUGAAACUUAAAGGAAUUGGCGGGGGAGCACAAGGGCGAAUUCGCG